This 1960-nucleotide long non-coding RNA is filed under the name Solanum tuberosum (potato). RNAcentral's name for it is "long non-coding RNA (STUB_LNC002071)". Lineage: Eukaryota; Viridiplantae; Streptophyta; Magnoliopsida; Solanales; Solanaceae. The record is from RNAcentral.
GUAGCUAAAGACUACAUACAAGAAUAUAUUUGCAAGAAGAAAGGGAUAGAUACAGUUAUUAAAACUGGAAAUUCUGAGUCCUAGAAAUCUGUUUCGAAGCUUGCAUAGGAGAUUUUUCAUAGUAGCCUUGUUUGAUUUUCAUUUGUGGUGAAGUCGCUACUCCUCUGUUCGUUUUGGUCGCAGUCGCUGCCCGGAAGAAGGUAACGCUCUCUCCCUUUUAAUACUUUCCUCAUCUUUUCCGUUCCAGCAUAAUGUCUAUAGUUGUGCUUUUGUUUUGUUUGCUAUUGUUUGUUGUUGAGUUCUGGAUGGUUUGAUAUAGUGUGUAUUUCUUUAUGCUAUUUCAAUGUAGUUGGAUUCGUCUGUUCAAAUCUAUAUUUUUUCGUUUUCGAUGUCUUAAGAUGUCAAAAUGGGAACUCAUUUCGCUAACGUUGAUGGUAUGAGCUAUUUCUUCUUCAAAUGAAAGAUGAUUUCUCAAACUGUCUAAUAUGGAAAUUGGAUGUUAUAUUAUGUACUGUUUGAGAUUAAGUCGUGGCUGCUCUCCCCUUCUUGUUAUAUUUGUUUGGUUUUGGCAUCUCAAACCAACGUGUUGGUAUUCAUGGCUAUUUGUUUGUCCUGGAAGUCCAGUUUUCAGUUUAACGGUAUAUUUUGGCCCAAAUAUGAUUGUUUAGCUUUACUAUUUGCCAUGUUUUGGUGUUACUGUUUGAUAGUAUCAUCCUCUAAGGAUAUUACUUUCUUCUUUUUGCCUAUUUGUGUUUAUAUUUGCUCUAUAUUUUGCUAUUAUGUAUUCCCCUGAUAAGACUUGGCAACGUUUAGUUCUAACUAGUCCCCUUAGGAAAAUUUUGGAAGCAUAUGGUAUAUGUUGACCAAUUCUUAUUUUUUUAUUUGUUGUUUAUAACCUCUCUAGUUAUUACUUUUCUCUACUGUGCUAUUCCAUGCUGGGGAUAUUAUAAUUUAUGCUUUGUUAGUUCUUAUGUUUGGACAAAUAUGUAUAUUGUUCCUAUAUUUCUCUAAUCACUGAAGUGUACUGUAAUGAACAAGUUUUAUCUUUGUUUCUCCAUCUUUGUCAUCUUGUAUGUGUGUCAUUAGUCUACAUAAUUAUUUAAGUGCCUAUAGUGUUCUCUUUAUUUUUCUUUUAAAACUAUUGUUGUCCAUGUGCCACUGCACGAUUCUCUCAAAUGGGGAUUAUGUGUUAAUUUCCACUUUCUUGGGUCAAAAUGCAUAUUUUCCUGUAGGUUGGUUUACACUUCUUGCAUCUAUAUCAGUUGGAAUUAUAUAUUAACUCCUUAUACUCUUUUGCUUGCAUGUGAAAUCUGUCGGAGGUCACCACGAACUCGUUCCUUUCCCUUGCAUUUCCAAGAGAGCCAUAAAGGCUCAAUUUCCUGUGUUUAUCAAGUGGGCCAACUAAAAAUUGUCGAACAUGUCUCAGUUGGGAGAACACGCAGCAAUUUUGAGAAUUGAAAAUUGGGCCUUUAUUUCAGAAGACUGUAUUUCGUUAUUAUUGGGCCUAAGCCCAUUUAUUCAUUAUGUUUGUUAUUUUAUAGAGUUUAGGACAUGUGAAAAAUUGGGCCUAAGGCCUAAAGAAAAAUAUUUAUUUUUACGUUAGUUUAGGACAGGUGCAAGUGACUCUAAUGGCCCAAGACAAAAUGGACCCAAAUACUGUCCCAGACGGACAGGAAAAUCAGAUUUGGGCCCAAAUCUCUUUCCAUCUUCAAUUUGAUUAUGUUUGUGUUUGUUGUUAAUCUUAAGGUCGAAAAAAUUCAAAUCCCCGAAAGACACCCAUUUUGAUUUAACAAUUUAACUAAAUCGGUCUUUUAAUUGAACUUAAAGAAUAAUUUUGAGAAAUAUCUCACUUAGAUAUUAGUUCUACAUUCUCCUCCUUUUCCCUUUAAAAUGAUUCUAAUUAUAAAAAUUGUUCAAAUCAAAUUAAGUUAAAUUAUUUUAGCCAAAUAGUUAAUUGCCG